GACUACAGGGGUAUCUAAUCCUGUUUGCUCCCCACGCUUUCGCGCCUCAGCGUCAGAUGAUGCCCAGUAAGCUGCCUUCGCCAUGGGUGUUCCUCCUGAUAUCAAUGCAUGUCACCGCUACACCAGGAAUUCCACUUACCUCUGCAUCCCUCUAGUCUGCCAGUAUGCGAAGCAGUUUCCGGGUUGAGCCCUGGAGAUUUCACUUCACACUUAACAGACCGCCUACGCGCUCUUUACGCCCAGUAAAUCCGGACAACGCUUGCACCCUACGUCUUACCGCGGCUGCUGGCACGUAGUUAGCCGGUGCUUAUUCUCAGGGUACCGUCCUAAGUCUUUCCCUGAAAAAGGAGUUUACAGACCUAAAUCCUUCAUCCUCCACGCGGCGUCGCUGCAUCAGGGUUUCCCCCAUUGUGCAAGAUUCCCCACUGCAGCCGCCCGUAGG
RNAcentral lists this ribosomal RNA (442 nucleotides) under uncultured Armatimonadota bacterium. RNAcentral describes it as "uncultured Armatimonadetes bacterium partial 16S ribosomal RNA". Lineage: Bacteria; Bacillati; Armatimonadota. The record is from RNAcentral.